This 579-nucleotide ribosomal RNA is filed under the name Alkalinema pantanalense CW4. Its description in RNAcentral is "bacterial SSU rRNA". It matches the Rfam family "Bacterial small subunit ribosomal RNA", at positions 188 to 785 of the family's 1533-position model. Lineage: Bacteria; Bacillati; Cyanobacteriota; Cyanophyceae; Leptolyngbyales; Leptolyngbyaceae. The record is from RNAcentral.
AUGUGCCCACGGGUGAAAGAUUUAUUGCCAAAAGAUGAGCUCGCGUCUGAUUAGCUAGUAGGUGAGGUAAUGGCUCACCUAGGCGACGAUCAGUAACUGGUCUGAGAGGAUGACCAGUCACACUGGGACUGAGACACGGCCCAGACUCCUACGGGAGGCAGCAGUGGGGAAUUUUCCGCAAUGGGCGAAAGCCUGACGGAGCAAUACCGCGUGAGGGAGGAAGGCUUUUGGGUUGUAAACCUCUUUUAUUAGGGAAGAAGAUCUGACGGUACCUAAUGAAUCAGCAUCGGCUAACUUCGUGCCAGCAGCCGCGGUAAUACGAGGGAUGCAAGCGUUAUCCGGAAUUAUUGGGCGUAAAGCGUCCGCAGGUGGUUUUACAAGUCUGCUGUCAAAGCGUGGAGCUUAACUCCAUAACGGCGGUGGAAACUGUAAGACUAGAGGUCAGUAGGGGUCACGGGAAUUCCCAGUGUAGCGGUGAAAUGCGUAGAUAUUGGGAAGAACACCAGCGGCGAAAGCGCGUGACUGGGCUGAUUCUGACACUCAUGGACGAAAGCUAGGGGAGCGAAUGGGAUUAGAUAC